Molecule: long non-coding RNA, 1506 nt
Organism: Patella vulgata (common limpet)
Lineage: Eukaryota; Metazoa; Mollusca; Gastropoda; Patellidae
Exons: 6
Source: RefSeq, a predicted model, not a curated record
AUUUUGUGUUCAGUCAUCGAAAUACUCCUCGAAAGAAGACCAAUUUACGAAGUUGUUUCGUGAGUGAUGCUUUCUUAAUGUGAUUAACUCUUCUUCUUAAGGCAGUUUUGAUACUUCUCCUAUGUAUUUUUUUUUAUAUUAAUCUGAACUAAAAUUGGACUAAAAUAUAAAAAGUUUCCCAACGUCAUCUAUUUUUAAUUCCAAUAGUUUCUAUUUACUAAUGGCGAACUACUGAACUUAUGUAAUUGGAAUACCUCAAUGUAGACGCAAAAUAUAAAGGGAACUACAUUGUAAUUGGAUAAAUGAUAGUCUAAAUGACAACAGAACCAAUAUUAGUAAUCACUACAAUGCGCAACGUUGGUUGUAUUCCUUCAGAAACAUAAUUAUGUUCACACAAUUAUAGGAUAAACAAAAGUGAAUAUAUAAUCGAUCCUCUAAAAUACGGUUGAGUUUUACACUUUGCACUAUUUAAAUGUACGUCCGUCAGAGGUAGUAUCAGAGGUUCUAGAAGACAAUUUUACCGUUAAGGAUGUAUUUUCAACUGAUCUGGGAUUUCCUGUUCGUGUGGUUUGUAUUUUCAAGAUUUCUUUCUGUAAAAAGUAAAGGAAUUUUAGUUUGCAAAAAUGGCUACGAAGAUAUGGAGGGCCAUUGUUUGAAAUGGCAUACUAUAGAAGCAACUUACAUAGACGCUGUGGAAAAAUGUCGACAAGAUGAAGGACAAUUAGUCACUAUAAAAAAUGCUCAAAAACAGCUGGUAGUUAAUAACUUCAGGUACCAUCAACACUUACCCGAUAAUAAACGAGUCUGGUUAGGACUCAAACAAAAUGAUGCCAAAUGGAAAUGGGUUGAUGGAACAUCACUGGGCUAUUCUAAGUGGAGACCAAAUGCGGUCACAACAGAAACAGGUGAAGAUCUCUGUGCAUGUUUGAAGCUAGAAAGCGACAAAGAGAACACAUGGUUGACUAUUGCUUGUAUAUUUAAAUUUAUCUUUAUCUGUGAAGAAACAACUCACCCAUCUUUACCAAUGAGCACCCGAAAUGGUCAAAUCAAAUCUGGAAAUUGGUUACGGACACAUCAAAACUUCAGGCACGCUAACCAGUUUGUUUUCAGUGUAAGAGAGUCCAGUUCCCGAUUACAGUGUGUAAAUGUCUGCCAGAUGAUUGAACUUUGCAAAAGUUUCAGUUACAAUAUCAAGGAUAAACAGUGUUCCUUCUCUAACCGAACUCAGACUUUGAAUCCAAUACCAAAAGACUGUUGGGAAGUCUGGGUUUUACAGAAUGAUGUUCCAGACGAUCACCAACAGAUCUCCAUAUAACCGAAUCUUCUGACAGAUUUAGAAGGCUACAUCGCCCUAUGUUUCAAGAUGAUUUCUAAUAGCGUGAAUAUUCAUAUGAAAUUUAAUGUAAUAUAAUUUGAAUUACGUAUUUCAAUUUAAAAUUAGAUUAAAAUUUCUUAAAUAAAUUAACUUGAAUCAAAAGCACGCCACUUGACUCAAUGACAUACCUU